Canis lupus familiaris (dog) is the source of this 4196-nucleotide long non-coding RNA. RefSeq lists it as uncharacterized. Lineage: Eukaryota; Metazoa; Chordata; Mammalia; Carnivora; Canidae. The record is from RefSeq and is a predicted model, not a curated record. The transcript has 2 exons.
UCCCGCCCCCCCAUGAAUGGGAUUCUCCUGACUGUAUGCAAGGGGACAGGUAAUCCCUGUAUACACAAACUAGAAAAGCAAACAGCUUGGAAAAUAGCAGGGAGAACUGUCAGCGCUGAUAUCAACACACAGAAAUACUUUCAGGAUAGGGUAGCUUGGAAAACCACCACAUGAUGUCACCUCUCCUAAUGGGACGGUCUGUUCUAGCCACUUACGGUAAGGCAGCCAGCGUGGUGGAAGAGACUACAGUUCAGGGCUCUGUAGCAGGACACCUGGAUUUUCUGUUCGGACUCUGCCUUGCCUGACCUGGGGCUUCUGCUUCCCUUCUCUGGGCCCCUCCAUGAAAUCAAAUGAACCUCUUGGGUCCUUCCCCUACUAAAGCGCACUGCCCUUCUGGCUGGCGCCCCCUAGAGCAGAUCUAGAGCUACAGUUCGGGGCCCUGGGGCUACACUUGUGGACUGCCAGAGACCACCUCUGGCGGAAGCACCGGCCGCACUCCAGGCAGGGGAAGGGCUUCUCCCCUGUGUGCAGGAGCUGGUGCUGAGCCAGGUGGCUCCACUGGGCAAAGCGCUUGGCACACAGGUCGCAGGCAUAAGGCCGCUCGCCUGAGUGCACGCGCCGGUGACUAGCCAGGAGCGAGGGGUAGGCGAAGCGGCGGCCACAGUCCUCGCAGGCGUGUAGCUUCUCCUCCGUGUGCGUGCUGCGGUGGAUGGCUAGGGAGCCGCUCCGCCGGAAGGCGCGGCCGCAGUCCGGGCAGGGGUAGGGCUUCUCUCCUGUGUGCAAGAGCUGGUGCUGGAGCAACGUGCUGCGCUGGGAAAAGCGGGCCUCACAGUGCUCGCAAGCAUAGGGGCGCUCCCCGGAGUGCACCCGCCGGUGGCUGACCAGGCGAGAGGAUGAAGAGAAACGCCGCUCGCAGUCUGGACACGGGUAGGGCUUCUCGCCUGUGUGGAUACGCUGAUGGAUGACGAGGGCGGUGCGCUGCCGAAAGCGGCGGUUGCAUUCCAGGCAGGUGUAGGGCUUCUCUCCCGUGUGUGUGCGUUGGUGGAUGGCUAGCAGGGAAGGAUAGGCAAAGCGCCGCCCGCAGCUGGGGCACUGGUGGGGCUUUUCACCUGUAUGCGUGGUCCGGUGAUUGGCCAAGGAGCGGCUUCUACGGAAGCAGCGGCCACAGUCGGGGCAGUGGUAGGGCUUCUCCCCUGUGUGGAUAACCUGGUGCUGCGAGAGGUUCUUGCGUUGGGAGAAACGUUUGCCACACUGGUCACACACGUAGGGACACUCACCAGAGUGUGCCCGCCGGUGACUGACCAGCAGGGAGGGAUAGGAAAAGCGGCGCCCACAGUCUGGGCAAGGAUAAGGCUUUUUCAGAUUCUGGGCACACUUGUGGCUCUCCAGGGCCAGAUGAUCAGGGAAGGUACAACCACAAUCAGGGCAGAUGGGGCCCCCAGAUGUCUGCCUGGGGAUCAGCCGGGGUUUGCUGGGCCGCCGCCCUCUCUUCCCUUUUCGGGGUGCCUCCUUAGGCGGGAAUACUUCCUUCUCUCCAUUCUUCUUUCUGGUUCUGGUUUCUAUAGAAACACAGGGAGAGAUUAAUUUAACAAAUACUACUCCCCUAUCCUUGCCCCUGACACUGUUACAGGUGAGAAGACAAACAGGCUCAGCCCCUCUUCAAGGAGUGUUAGUGCCAAGGACAACAAGCUGUGACAUACUACUAAAGAAAUAGGGAGGAUAUUCCAGUAGUCCCCAGCUCUAUCUGGAGAAGUCAGGAAGAGUUUCUUGGAGGUUAUGCAGAUUUAAGAAAUUACAAAUUUUUGAAGAGGUUAAGUGUAAGGCAGGAAGUAGAAGCAUGAGGUGUGAGAUGGCAGUGACUAGGUCAUAAGGCCCUCUAGGCCAAUGGUUCUCAAAUUUUAUUGUGAUGAGAAUUAUUUGGGUAGCUUAUUGAAACAAGUUUGGCUUCAGCAGGUCUGGCAUGGAGCCCAAGAUUUUGUAUUUCUGAUUCUUUCCUGAGUGAUGCUGCUGCUGGUCUGAGGACCACACUCUCAACCACUGCUGUUGAGGACCUUAAACUCCAGUGCUUCUCAAACGUAAACAUGCAUGCCAAUCAACUGGGGCUGUUAACAAAAGAAAUACAAGGUCCUAGAUAUCCAUCAGAGUAAAUUAAUAGUUCUGGGUCCAGGAAUCUUUUUUUUUUUUUUUUUUUUACUGAGUUCCUCAAGUGACUGCGCUAUAACUGACAGCCACAUGACAACCUGCCAUGGCAAAAACGGAAAAGUUUUAAGCAAGGAAGUAUCAUGGACAGAUCUGAAUCUUGGAAAGACAGCCCUGGUCUCAGAGAAUCCAGCACACAAACAGCAGCCCAAGCAGUUAUAUCCACCCCUAUGGGUGAAUCUGGGACCGGUCCACCUUAAUGGCAUUAAUCAGAGCCUUGCUUGAUCCUGAGAGCAGAUUCCUGCACCGAUUAGGGGUUGCCCUGCCAAAAGGGCAAAAAGAGGACCCUGCACCCCAGGCAGCUGUUCCCCAUGAGAUCCCUUCAACCCAAAUCCAGAACACCCAGACAGGUACCAGGUGUCUCAGUCAGAGCCCAGUUCAGAGCAGACUGGAGGACAGGGAUCCUGGGAAGGAGGCCAGAGGGUAGCUCCUUCUAAAAGCUCACCAAUUCAUUCACACAACAGAGAACUGCAGGCCCUUGGUUUGCAAACUGACAUGUAAAUCACUGUAUGGUGGACCCACCCAACACCAUCAGAGAGACAAGAUCCUAAGGUGUGAAAAUGAACACAGAAAAUCAAGCAUUACAGCAUGGGCCACAGGCUCCCCAGGCCACCAACACUCUAGACUAAGUCGUUAGAGGUUGCAGGCCCUUUGCAGGCAUUUUACACUCACUUCUUUGGACUGUUACCCGUCUUGGGCACUCCUGCGGAUCCAGGGCAGCCGGUUCCCAAUCAUCGGUAUUUCGUUCCAACCAGGAGAUGAGGGCUGGUUUGGGGCCUGCGCACCCUGGGCGAGGAGAACCAGUCAGACUUCCAGCUCCUAGAUAACGCUCGGAAACUCCUGCCCGAACUUGGGUGAAAGGCACCGGAAGAUGCCUUCGGGGAAGAUGGCGGCGCUGCUACCGCACCGCCUUAGCCUGGAACACAGGCGGCUUCCAGCUAUCGAUUUUAUUGACCGGAGCGCCAUGCCGGCUUCCUAACCUCUUUGCCCUCAAGUGUGAUGGCGCUGCGAUUGGGCUUCACGCCCUUUUUUCCCCCAUUACACGCGCCCAUUGGGCGGCGGCCGAAGAUCGGGCGUUCUGAUUGGAUGGUGGCGAAAGCGGCCUGUUUGAACGAAGCCAACCGAAGCUUAAGGGCAGGAAGCCGAGCCUGGGCGCCGGGGCCCUGCAGCCAGAUCGCAGGCGGGCGGCGGCGAGGCGGCUAGGCGGCUAAGUGACCGGCCCUGUUCUCUGGCAGCCGCUGCCUCCCUGAGGAAGGGAAGGAUUUGAGUGACGGAGCCACCCCGGCCAACUUGGGGCUGAGAGUACCCUGGUGGCUUUCUCCGAAUUGGACAACUUCCUGGUGCCCUUUCGGGAGGGGAAAGAACGUUGGCGUUUCCUGCACGCAGGCACCGUUCCCCUAUGACACAUUUCAUCUUUUUUUUUUUUUUUUCUUUGCUACCGUUGUGUAAAGUUCGUGAUGGUUAUCCUCCGUUUCUACUGAUAGGAAAAAUCUCAAAGGGAUUCUGCUUGUAAGGAGAAGAAACAAAGAUUUAAACCCGAGGCUGACCGGCCCUUUAUUAAAACCGCUGAAGUCGGCUCCCUUCCCCCGCACUAUCAGAAUUCGCUUGUCAAUGAUCUGACCUCCUGGCCUUUUCUCAGGUUCUAUCUUCUGCACAUUUCUCCAUAGUUUAUUUUUACGUGACAUUUGUCCAAUGUACAAAGCGUGGUGCUGGGCAUUUUGGAAAUGAGUCGUGCACCAUGCUCUGAAUGGAGUUAAUAGUUGAGUGAGGCACAUGCAUUUAAAAGUAGUAACAGUGCUGCAAGCAUCUAUGUGAAAGGCAUAGGAAAAUUGCUGAUGGAACCAGUCAGCCCUCACUCCAUCGGUCCCCACUUCUCUGUGGCUGUGCAGGGUUUCCCAAGGAUCUGGGGAUCAGAGAAUAUGCCAUUUGCUACAACAUUUCAGCUAUCUCUCCAGCCCAUUAAUCAAUUUUUUAAUUAAAAAAAAAGAUUUUAUUUA